GCACUGGAGGCGAAAGCGGAGAGAGACUCCCGGGCCUGGGAAGGACCUCCCGGGAAUGUGGGGGGUGGCUGCCUGGCAGGACAAACUCUACCGGAGCAAGGAGACCUUGCCGGGCUCCGGCGCGCAGCCCCCUCUCGCCGCCGUGCCCCGCGAGUAUCUUCAUUGCCAGCCGGCUCUGGAGCCAGCGAUGUCCGCGGGAAGCCGCCCUUCCCCCGUGUCCCGCUUAGCCGCGAUCUUAAUCGUAGUUUCGGGUUGCGGGCGAUGCGCUCCCGCAAAGCGUUAGCUCUUGUGCAAUGCGGGGAGCUCCGCGGAAACCGGGACAGAAACAGAAAGAGAAAGAGCGGAGCGCCAGGCUGUGCAACGUACUCUCUGCAGGGACCGUUUUCCGCAGAAAGAAUUUCUGGAAAAUUUCGCCGAAAUCAUCAUUUUUGCGGUUGCAAGGCCCAGGGCUCCGGUAAAGCCUGUGAUGACACAUUACAACCCCCACGAAUCACACGAGUUUAUUGCCUUCCUAACACCACCGGGGUUCCCCUGAUUUAUUUUCAAGCGAGGCUCGGGGUUCUCCUUCAGUGGGAGCCCCGCGGCGGCGGCGGGUGGCCCGGCCCGGCCCAGACCGCGCUCGUUGUGAGCCCCUUGUGAUGUGGCUGGGGACGGUGGGCUGUAAUGAGAGACACAUGGUUCGGCAAGGAUAAUUAAUAGCAAUAGCGAUAAUAAUAGUGCUUAAUGGUUGGAGAGAGAGACUCGCUAAUAACAGACAGAUCGGGGUUUCGCGGAGCGACUGCAACAUCUAUAGGCGCCUCUCCGCCUUUUCCCAAACCGCGAGGCCACCGCGACGGGCGCAGGAGUUGUGCCCUAGGAACCUCAGAGAGGGCUGAAGGGACGGGGAAACCUCGCAGUCGGGGUAGAUGCCCUCGGCACGGAUGAGGCCGAGGGAAGAGAAAGCCGUCCUCGUUCUCUGCAGCGGGCACAGGCGCGGUCAGCAGCGCACACACUGCGCUCAAAGCGGUGAGGAGAGCCAAGGCGGAGAGGUUUGCUCGGAAAGCCGGGGACAGGCGACUGUCCCACUGCUUCCCGCCGACACCCCGCCACAGCUGCGGUGCUGGUACUGCCGUGCGCGUUGUGCAGAGGCGAAGGAGAGCGUCGGGGACGGCUGGCUCCCCGCGUCCCCUGUUAUCCGGGCCGGAGCAGGAUGCUGGAGUGGUGGGACGCCGUGACUGCAAACCCCUCAAUUUUAAAAACAACAAAAUCCCAAAAUAAGAGGAAACAAACCCCAAGCAAACAAAACAGAAACCGAGGCCAACCAGCAGGCAGGCUCUCCUGCCAGGCGAUACCCAGGCGGCCGGCUGCCCCCUCGCCCAUCGUUGAGAUGGGCCCAUUGCCCGGCCCGGUCCCCUCCUGGGGGGUGCCGGUCCCCGCACGGCGGCCCCGUAGCCCUCCCCUCCGCCUUUCCCCCGGUCGCUAUGGAGGGCCGGGAGAGCCUGGAGCCGAGCGGCAGGGCGCUGCGGCUGGGGCCGGGCCGGCGGGGCACGGCGGGCAUGGCACACACUCCGCGUGCCGGAGAAAGAGGGUGUCCCGUCCUUUUUUUUAGUUGCUUAAUUUCAUUUUAUUUCUUUAAUAAACAAGUAUUUUUGAGUUAUAAAAA
Haemorhous mexicanus (house finch) is the source of this 1642-nucleotide long non-coding RNA. RefSeq lists it as uncharacterized. The record is from RefSeq and is a predicted model, not a curated record. The transcript has 2 exons. Lineage: Eukaryota; Metazoa; Chordata; Aves; Passeriformes; Fringillidae.